This 439-nucleotide ribosomal RNA is filed under the name Platorish jimna. RNAcentral describes it as "partial 16S ribosomal RNA". Lineage: Eukaryota; Metazoa; Arthropoda; Arachnida; Araneae; Trachycosmidae. The record is from RNAcentral.
UUCUAUUAGUACUAAUUAAUAGUAAGAUCUGCUCAAUGAAACAUUAUUAAAUAGCCGCAAUAUGUGCUAAGGUAGCAUAAUCAUUCGUCUUUUAAUUGAAGACUAGAACAAAAGAUUUAACAUUUCAAUCUAUUUCUUAAUUUUAAUUAUUAAAAUUAUCUUAAAAGUAAAAAGACUUUUAUAAAAAAGAAAGACGAUAAGACCCUAUCGAACUUUACUUCAGUUUAACUGGGGCAGUUAAUUAAUUAAUAUUUUAAUAAAAUUAUAAACAAAAAUAUCUAAUAAAAUUAAAGCUUAAUCAAGUUACCGUAGGGAUAACAGCAUAAUAAAUAUUUACAGAUCUUAUAUAAAUAUUAGAUUAUGACCUCGAUGUUGAAUAAUAACCUAUUAUACGCAGUAGUAUAAAAAGGAAGUCUGUUCGACUUACUAAAAAAUUACA